Molecule: ribosomal RNA, 253 nt
Filed under: uncultured bacterium
Lineage: Bacteria
Description: partial 16S ribosomal RNA
Rfam family: Bacterial small subunit ribosomal RNA
Source: RNAcentral
AACGUAGGGGGCAAGCGUUAUCCGGAAUUACUGGGUGUAAAGGGUGCGUAGGCGGCCAGGCAAGUUAGGUGUGAAACCCCGGGGCUCAACCCCGGGCUUGCACUUAAAACUGCCAGGCUAGAGUACAGGAGAGGUAAGCGGAAUUCCUAGUGUAGCGGUGAAAUGCGUAGAUAUUAGGAAGAACACCAGUGGCGAAGGCGGCUUACUGGACUGAAACUGACGCUGAGGCACGAAAGCGUGGGGAGCGAACAGG